RNAcentral lists this unclassified non-coding RNA (19 nucleotides) under Mus musculus (house mouse). Its description in RNAcentral is "oocyte_clustered_small_RNA4196". Lineage: Eukaryota; Metazoa; Chordata; Mammalia; Rodentia; Muridae. The record is from RNAcentral.
AAUCAAGGCAGCAGGGGCA